Long non-coding RNA from Musca domestica (house fly), 404 nucleotides. RefSeq lists it as uncharacterized. NCBI's taxonomy places the organism in Eukaryota, Metazoa, Arthropoda, Insecta, Diptera, Muscidae. The record is from RefSeq and is a predicted model, not a curated record. The transcript has 2 exons.
UACUAUUUUAACUUAAUGAACUACAUGAUUGAAGGAGUUGGAUAUAGUUCCGAUCGUUCCUUUCGCAAAGCAGUUACUUUGAACUGCUUCUUUCCGGAACGGCACAACUCUUGUUAAAUUGUUUUGGUUAUGGAUUCGGAGGCCUCCAGCAAAAAAUCGAGGAAGAGUAAAUCUCGCAAAAGGACAAGGGACGCAAUUGAACCACUCGAUGAUAAAGGAAUUGUCCGGAAGCAAAAAGAACUGAUGAGAGUUUUACACGUUAAAAACUUUCAGCUGCAAAACGGAAAUCUAUCGUACUUGGAUUACAUCGAGUUGAGGGAGGAGCUACUUCGUUUGAAUGCCCUGAAGGAUAUUUUUAAGAAUAUGGAAUAAAAAUAAAGCAGUAAGAAAGUAAACAUUAAUAA